AAUGAAAGAAUCAUGAGUAAGUGAUCUUUGAGAAUAUAUCUACCAUUGCUUUCAAUACGUGAGAGAUCUCCGAAUUCUUCAAUCAUGUCCCACAUAAGUAUAACUUCGUUUGUAGCUUUGAUGAUACCAUCCAAAUUGGAGAGAUUCUUGGCCCAAUUUUUUUAGCUCGUUUCUUAGUCUUUUAAAAUUCUACAGUGAUGAGCUUAGCAUUGUCUUGCUUGGUACCUAUGUGGGAAAGGGGAC
Molecule: long non-coding RNA, 243 nt
Filed under: Hordeum vulgare
Lineage: Eukaryota; Viridiplantae; Streptophyta; Magnoliopsida; Poales; Poaceae
Description: long non-coding RNA (HVUL_LNC013094)
Source: RNAcentral